GACGAACGCUGGCGGCGUGCUUAACACAUGCAAGUCGAACGGUGAAGGGGUCUGCUUUUGUGGGCCCUGGAUGAGUGGCGAACGGGUGAGUAACACGUGAGUAACCUGCCCCCUUCUUCUGGAUAACCGCAUGAAAGUGUGGCUAAUACGGGAUAUUCUGGGUCUGUCGCAUGAUGGGUCUGGGAAAGAUUGCGCCUUUGGGUGUUUUUGGUGGGGGAUGGGCUCGCGGCCUAUCAGCUUGUUGGUGGGUGAUGGCCUACCAAGGCGGUGACGGGUAGCCGGCCUGAGAGGGUGGACGGUCACACUGGGACUGAGACACGGCCCAGACUCCUACGGGAGGCAGCAGUGGGGAAUAUUGCACAAUGGGCGCAAGCCUGAUGCAGCGACGCCGCGUGAGGGAUGGAGGCCUUCGGGUUGUAAACCUCUUUCGCCAGUGAAGCAGGCCUGCUCCUUGUGGGUGGGUUGACGGUAGCUGGAUAAGAAGCGCCGGCUAACUACGUG
RNAcentral lists this ribosomal RNA (501 nucleotides) under uncultured bacterium. RNAcentral describes it as "partial 16S ribosomal RNA". It matches the Rfam family "Bacterial small subunit ribosomal RNA", at positions 28 to 507 of the family's 1533-position model. The record is from RNAcentral.